GACGAACGCUGGCGGCGUACUUAACACAUGCAAGUCGAACGGAAAGGCCUGCUUUCCCUUGUGGAUUGCGGGUACUCGAGCGGCGAACGGGUGAGUAACACGUGAGUGAUCUGCCCCCAACUUGGGUAUAAGCCUGGGAAACUGGGUCUAAUUCCCGAUAGGACUGCAGGGUGGUGCCUGUGGUGGAAAACGAUUUUCUAGUGGUUGGGGAUGAGCUCGCGGCCUAUCAGCUUGUUGGUGGGGUAAUGGCCUACCAAGGCGGCGACGGGUAGCCGGCCUGAGAGGGUGGACGGCCACAUUGGGACUGAGAUACGGCCCAGACUCCUACGGGAGGCAGCAGUGGGGAAUAUUGCACAAUGGGCGGAAGCCUGAUGCAGCGACGCCGCGUGGGGGAUGACGGCCUUCGGGUUGUAAACUCCUUUCGACCGCGAGGAAGCCACCUGGUUGGAGGGGUGGUGACGGUAGUGGUAGAAGAAGCACCGGCUAACUACGUG
RNAcentral lists this ribosomal RNA (494 nucleotides) under uncultured bacterium. Its description in RNAcentral is "partial 16S ribosomal RNA". It matches the Rfam family "Bacterial small subunit ribosomal RNA", at positions 28 to 507 of the family's 1533-position model. The record is from RNAcentral.